RNAcentral lists this ribosomal RNA (984 nucleotides) under Acinetobacter baumannii. Its description in RNAcentral is "bacterial SSU rRNA". It matches the Rfam family "Bacterial small subunit ribosomal RNA", at positions 18 to 996 of the family's 1533-position model. The record is from RNAcentral. Lineage: Bacteria; Pseudomonadati; Pseudomonadota; Gammaproteobacteria; Moraxellales; Moraxellaceae.
CCUGGCUCAGAUUGAACGCUGGCGGCAGGCUUAACACAUGCAAGUCGAGCGGGGGAAGGUAGCUUGCUACUGGACCUAGCGGCGGACGGGUGAGUAAUGCUUAGGAAUCUGCCUAUUAGUGGGGGACAACAUCUCGAAAGGGAUGCUAAUACCGCAUACGUCCUACGGGAGAAAGCAGGGGAUCUUCGGACCUUGCGCUAAUAGAUGAGCCUAAGUCGGAUUAGCUAGUUGGUGGGGUAAAGGCCUACCAAGGCGACGAUCUGUAGCGGGUCUGAGAGGAUGAUCCGCCACACUGGGACUGAGACACGGCCCAGACUCCUACGGGAGGCAGCAGUGGGGAAUAUUGGACAAUGGGGGGAACCCUGAUCCAGCCAUGCCGCGUGUGUGAAGAAGGCCUUAUGGUUGUAAAGCACUUUAAGCGAGGAGGAGGCUACUUUAGUUAAUACCUAGAGAUAGUGGACGUUACUCGCAGAAUAAGCACCGGCUAACUCUGUGCCAGCAGCCGCGGUAAUACAGAGGGUGCGAGCGUUAAUCGGAUUUACUGGGCGUAAAGCGUGCGUAGGCGGCUUAUUAAGUCGGAUGUGAAAUCCCCGAGCUUAACUUGGGAAUUGCAUUCGAUACUGGUGAGCUAGAGUAUGGGAGAGGAUGGUAGAAUUCCAGGUGUAGCGGUGAAAUGCGUAGAGAUCUGGAGGAAUACCGAUGGCGAAGGCAGCCAUCUGGCCUAAUACUGACGCUGAGGUACGAAAGCAUGGGGAGCAAACAGGAUUAGAUACCCUGGUAGUCCAUGCCGUAAACGAUGUCUACUAGCCGUUGGGGCCUUUGAGGCUUUAGUGGCGCAGCUAACGCGAUAAGUAGACCGCCUGGGGAGUACGGUCGCAAGACUAAAACUCAAAUGAAUUGACGGGGGCCCGCACAAGCGGUGGAGCAUGUGGUUUAAUUCGAUGCAACGCGAAGAACCUUACCUGGCCUUGACAUACUAGAAAC